UUCGCUAGGUCCCCUCUGCGCCGCCAUGCGCGUGAGAUGCUCGUCACCUGUUUCCGCGCGCCCCACCGGAGAGCACCUGCCGGCCGCCGACGACGAGGGCCACGCCGGCGAUCUCCUCUCAGCCCAUCUGCCUCCUCUUUCCUCUCCAUUAUUUUCUUCUCUCUCCGCCUCUUGUUCAUUCGUGACCGCCCGAGCUCGCCCAGAUCCGGUCCGUCACCGGUCGUCCGUGGCGCGAGCGCCGGGCCUCCUCCUCAGUCUCCUCGUUCUGCGCCGCCCCUAUUGCACUGCGCACACGCGCUCCGGAGCCAUGGCCACCAUUUGUCGAGCCGCGGGAUCGACGCCCGACCGGCGCCGCGACCGGCCUCUUGCGCAGCUCCCGGCCGCCGUCCCCUGUGCCUCAUCCCGUGUCUCCCCACCUCGCCUGUGCAGCACCGUGGCUGCACAUCUCCAGCGCCAUCUGCUACAGCCCUGCGGUCAACCGCCUGGACGCCAUGGGCAGCGGCCAUGGACCAGUUCGACAAGACCAUGGUGCUUGCGGGCGGAAUGCCCCUCGCCGCCGGCACUAUGACAAUACCCUCUGAAGAUGUGGGAGUCCAUGGACACUCUCGUGUGGCACCUGUGCAUUGCCUUUGAGGAGCACGAUGACUACCUGGAGGCCAAGCCGUUCGGUGUGACCGUCAUGCCCGUACUUUCCUGCCUCCUCCCUGUCCUCCCCUCUUACUCUCAAACUCGAGCACCAACUCGACGGCAAGCACCAAGCAGCAGCUCAGCCAAAGCCCGAAAUACAUUGAACGGACAACAAGUGCUGAACCGGUUCACGGACUAGCCUGAUUGAUUCAAUCCCCAUGUGCUUGUAUCAAUGCCUGCAAGGGAGCAAGCGUACUGGAGGGAUGGUUGGACGGAGAGUAAUUUGCUACAAAGCUUUAUUAUUUAUGGUUAUUUCCUGAAUCCCUGAUAUAAUAUACAAUGCAUUAUGUAGAAACCAAAAUGAUGUUCAUAGAGAUCCGUUCUUACCGCGUUUAUGACAUUCAUUUCUGAUUUGAGAAAAUUGCUCAGAAUUAGGUGAAUAUCAUUUAUGCUUGUGUCAUCUCUUUCAUUUUAUGGUUUAGCACCAGUCGCCAACUAUGGUUACCGUGUGCGGCUUGAAUCAAAUGGCAUGUGAUUGAGCAAAUGAACGAAAUAUAGGUGAAACAUUUAUUUUUUAGAAGAGAUGGGUGCUACGUAUUUCCAUUCAAGUGUUCCCUUUAAUUUUUCAUAGUUUACAUUGAGACACAGGAAUUGCUUAAAGCAUGGAUUUGACUGCAGUGUUGCUGGCCGGCAUCUCCACCAUUCAUCUUGUCAUUGACAGAAACCCCAUCUUGUCACUGAUAGAACCCCAGGCUCUUCCACCUACAGCAAACAAAUAAAAGGACUUGAUUUAUGGUCUUGUAAAUUGGUUGUAUCCUCGAGUCAGGGUUGAUAUAUGUCCUUGCAUGAGCAAGUUGACGUAUCUACAUGGAAGGUUACUACAGCACUACACUUAUCUUGCAGACGUUUUUCUUUUACUGAAAAUAGUAGGUGAGUGUUAAUCUUUUGCAGGUUCUGUAUUUGACACUAUUUUGUAUGUUUAAAGGAUAAAAUUUUAUGGCUCUUUUCACUUCAGCAAGUGAACAACUUGGAUCACUUAUGAUAUUCGUUGUGCUAUACUUCUAACUGAAAUAUGUAGUGCAGCGCAUGUUACACUAUCUGCUUGUCCAGAAACUGGAACAGCCAGCCGAUGUUCGGUAGUGGAGUAUCCUUAUAUUUAUGUUGAUAGUUGUCGAGGAUUUGUUGGGUGUCACCUAAAGGACACUUCCUAUGGCCCUGUUGCAACGCACGUGCUCUUUUGCUCUGGUUGAUGGAGAAGUUGCAGUAGGCUGAAGACAUCAUCAAGGCCGAGGACCAGGAGAUGAAACAGUGAGUGACAGAGGGUGUCGGUGCAUGAUGUGGCAGCUGUGCAGUCGACCAACGAGUGUUGGUUCUCAUACCUUCAGGUUACGUAGAGAAACUACACAUAUCUGCACAAUGUACUAAUCGUGCAGUGUGCUUUGAUGUAGAGUGGUGUUUUCCAUGUUGUUGGCAUAGGAGUACUGAUCAAUGUGAGCUUCAGUUACAAUGGCAACAUAUGAUCGAAUGCCCAUGUAUCAUAAUUUAUGGUGUACCUGACAUUCGGAGCCUAUGUCCAAUACUUUUAGCUGUGUAUUCUGAUCUGUGAUCAAAAUUUGUAAUAUGGGCAGAUGGAGCUAAUGAUAUAUUCACUCACAAGGUAAGUAGUUGAUAGAAUCAUGUACAUGUGGGAAGAUCAGGUUUUCCUUUCUAAAUAAUCAUUUAUAUGUUACUAGCGUACA
Triticum aestivum (bread wheat) is the source of this 2366-nucleotide long non-coding RNA. RefSeq lists it as uncharacterized. The record is from RefSeq and is a predicted model, not a curated record. The transcript is spliced from 2 exons. Lineage: Eukaryota; Viridiplantae; Streptophyta; Magnoliopsida; Poales; Poaceae.